This 548-nucleotide ribosomal RNA is filed under the name uncultured Glomus. Its description in RNAcentral is "SSU rRNA". It matches the Rfam family "Eukaryotic small subunit ribosomal RNA", at positions 548 to 1098 of the family's 1831-position model. Lineage: Eukaryota; Fungi; Glomeromycota; Glomeromycetes; Glomerales; Glomeraceae. The record is from RNAcentral.
UUGGAGGGCAAGUCUGGUGCCAGCAGCCGCGGUAAUUCCAGCUCCAAUAGCGUAUAUUAAAGUUGUUGCAGUUAAAAAGCUCGUAGUUGAAUCUCGGGAUCAAUUUAUUGGUCGUGCUAUUGUACGUACUGGUAUUAUUGAUUUCUACCUUCUGACGAACCAUGAUGUCAUUAAUUUGGUGUCUUGGGGAAUCAGGACUGUUACUUUGAAAAAAUUAGAGUGUUUAAAGCAGGCUCACGCUUGAAUACAUUAGCAUGGAAUAACGAAAUAGGACGUUUGAUUCUAUUUUGUUGGUUUCUAGGAUCGACGUAAUGAUUAAUAGGGAUAGUUGGGGGCAUUAGUAUUCAAUUGUCAGAGGUGAAAUUCUUGGAUUUAUUGAAGACUAACUACUGCGAAAGCAUUUGCCAAGGAUGUUUUCAUUAAUCAAGAACGAAAGUUAGGGGAUCGAAGACGAUCAGAUACCGUCGUAGUCUUAACCAUAAACUAUGCCGACUAGGGAUCGGAUGAUGUUAAUUUUUUAAUGACUCAUUCGGCGCCUUACGGGAAAC